RNAcentral lists this long non-coding RNA (462 nucleotides) under Ananas comosus (pineapple). Its description in RNAcentral is "long non-coding RNA (ACOM_LNC007196)". Lineage: Eukaryota; Viridiplantae; Streptophyta; Magnoliopsida; Poales; Bromeliaceae. The record is from RNAcentral.
AAUCUAGUUGGGUAGCUAGAAUUGAGUAUUAUGAUAUAACAUGAACGUUAUACUAUUGAAUAUGAUCUAGUUAAAUAACUAGAAUUGGAUAUGAGGAUAUACUUGUAAUAUACCGAAUUUUUAAUAUAAAAGUAAGUACAAAUAAAAAUAGUAUAAGGUACUAUUUUUAUUGGACUUAGAGAAGUAAAAUAUAAGUCGAAAACGACUUGUGCUGAAAUCGGAACGGAAACAGAAGAUUUAGAAUUUUCUGUAAGAAACGGACUGAUAUUUUAGCAGAAAAUUUACAGUGUCAGAAAAUUAUGAAAACUUGGGAAUAUGUCGGAAUUAUUUUUAUGAGGCUAGAUUUAAAGUUUCACGUCAUUCUGAUACCCGAAAAAUGAAAAAUAAAAUCUGACUGCUUUUUGCUAGAGAUUUUAGUCGGUAGAGCUUUCAGUGACCAAAAAUUGUCCAAACUGGGAAGUA